Molecule: ribosomal RNA, 423 nt
Filed under: uncultured bacterium
Lineage: Bacteria
Description: bacterial SSU rRNA
Rfam family: Bacterial small subunit ribosomal RNA
Source: RNAcentral
GAAUCUUCCGCAAUGGGCGAAAGUCUGACGGAGCAACGCCGCGUGAGUGAAGAAGGUUUUCGGAUCGUAAAACUCUGUUGUCGGAGAAGAACAAGUAGGAGAGUAACUGUUCCUACCUUGACGGUACCCGACCAGAAAGCCACGACUACCUACGUGCCAGCAGCCGCGGUAAUACGUAGGUGGCAAGCGUUGUCCGGAUUUAUUGGGCGUAAAGCGAGCGCAGGUGGUUUCUUAAGUCUGAUGUGAAAGCCCACGGCUCAACCGUGGAAGGUCAUUGGAAACUGGGGAACUUGAAUGCAGAAGAGGAGAGUGGAAUUCCAUGUGUAGCGGUGAAAUGCGUAGAUAUAUGGAGGAACACCAGUGGCGAAGGCGACUCUCUGGUCUGUUAUUGACACUGAGGCUCGAAAGCGUGGGGAGCAAACA